This 479-nucleotide long non-coding RNA is filed under the name Heterocephalus glaber (naked mole-rat). RNAcentral's name for it is "lncRNA (ENSHGLG00100036911.1)". Lineage: Eukaryota; Metazoa; Chordata; Mammalia; Rodentia; Bathyergidae. The record is from RNAcentral.
GAACUCGGAACCUUGCGCUUUCGUAGCAGGCUGCGGAACCACUGAGCUAAAUCCCCGGGCCUUUCCCCCAUUUUUUGCUGCUGAGGAGCCAGAGACUUAGAAGAAGCAAAUGAUUUGCUCAAGGUCGUGACUGUGGUGUGGAGCAAGUAAGUUACCAUCUGUGAAGUGCUAAGAAUACUGAGGAGCCCAAUAUGCGGAUCAUAGACUUUGGCGAAGACUUUGGAUUCUGCUUUUUAUGAGAAUUGAAGUCUUUGGAGGGAUUUGAAUAAAGAAACCACAUUUUUCAGAAUUAAAAUUUAAAACACUUUGAGAACAAAUUGGAGGGCUCUGGUGCCAUCCAUAUACGAGUGACUGUGAGAAACUCACACUCUGCGGAGAAACAUUCAUUUUUCUCGACUGUUUUUCUACCGCAAAUAAACGUCUGGCAGAAACCCCGUGGACCAGGAAUCCCACCCGCGCACUCAGAAAGUGACAGAGAC